RNAcentral lists this unclassified non-coding RNA (277 nucleotides) under Ascomycota sp. Its description in RNAcentral is "partial contains small subunit ribosomal RNA, internal transcribed spacer 1, and 5.8S ribosomal RNA". The stretch from base 1 to 47 matches the Rfam family "Eukaryotic small subunit ribosomal RNA", at positions 1785 to 1831 of the family's 1831-position model. The record is from RNAcentral. Lineage: Eukaryota; Fungi; Ascomycota.
AAAGUCGUAACAAGGUUUCCGUAGGUGAACCUGCGGAAGGAUCAUUAAUGAGAGGGGCCCUUGGGCUCCGGGGGCUUCGGCCCCCAACUCAACCCCCUAUGUUGACGUACCUUUGUUGCUUUGGCGGGCUUUGGGGUCCGCCCCAAGGCGGCGUCGGGCUUCGUUGCCCGGGUCGUCCUGCGCCCGUCAGAGGCCCAUCAAACUCCGUUUCUAUCACCGUCGUCCGAGUAAAAACCACAAUAGCAAAAAACUUUCAACAACGGAUCUCUUGGCUCUG